GCGGUUGUGGCGAAGUGGUUAACGCGGCGGCUUGUGGCGCCGAUAUUCGUGGGUUCGAUUCCCAUCAGCCGCCCCA
Molecule: transfer RNA, 76 nt
Filed under: Candidatus Phytoplasma australiense
Lineage: Bacteria; Bacillati; Mycoplasmatota; Mollicutes; Acholeplasmatales; Acholeplasmataceae
Also listed under: 1 other name
Description: tRNA-His (GTG) (tRNA-His-GTG-1-1, tRNA-His-GTG-1-2)
Rfam family: tRNA
About the family: Transfer RNA (tRNA) molecules are approximately 80 nucleotides in length. Their secondary structure includes four short double-helical elements and three loops (D, anti-codon, and T loops).
Source: RNAcentral